UCACAAAUGCAGUGCAUCAGAGCCUUUGUUGCACAGCAACCAGAUGAGCUAAGUUUAGAGAAAGCUGAUGUUCUAUUAGUUCACCAGCAGAGUACUGAUGGCUGGGUGGAAGGGACUCGUCUGUCAGACAGACAACGUGGUUGGGCCCCAGAGUCUCACCUGGAGACAAUAGUCAGUGACAAAGCAAGAAAGCGCAACCUGCUGGACACCGUGAAAAUUGCUACAGCGGCAAUGUGAAGCGAUCAAUGUUCUCAAGUGGACUUUUUCAACCACUAUUUUUUAGUAUUACUUUAAAGUCUUAAGCAAAAAGGUCUUCAAGAACUUCAAGGGUUUAUGUCUUAACUUCAUGGGAAGUUUCUAUUUAUUUUGUGUAUACACCUAAGCUGAUAAGGGUGAUGUGGGUGUUAUGGCCUCACCCAUGUCAGGGUACUACUCCACGCCCUGCGAAAGAGUCUGGUAAGAUGCUGUAUUAAGGCAACUGAACUCUUUAGAUAUCCCAUGGACAAAAAUGGACCUUGCAAUUUGUGCAAAUACAGCCAUAAACAGAACCUGCUCCAACUGAGCUUCUAUGCAGCUUCCAUAGUUUUUAUAUAAGACUAUUUUAUGAAUUGGAAGUGGGGAGAAACUCCUGGGCAGAACUAUGGACUAGAUUUUGUUGUCCUUAUUAUGAGCAAGCUGUCUAGCUGAGGAACCAAGAAAUCUGGAUAUAGGACACCUGCAGCAAAACUACUUGUUCUCUGUUAUAUAUAAACAUCAGGUCCCCUUCAGUGUGGAAUAUAAAUGCUGUCAGACUGCAGCCUCGUGGGAAUUCCGUUUGAAGAGGAGAUUUUGUUGUGCACCAGGACACACGAUGCAAAGGACAAAAUUAUUACCAAUUCUCAAAAACUUGGACUUUAACACAGUGCAAAUUUUAUUUAGGAUCAUGAAUUAUGGAUGGCGACUUUAUAAAACCAAAAGGUUUACAAUACCCAAGGUUGUCUACAAUGUACAUAAUAUAGGUUUUUAACAUAAAAGCUAAAAGUAUUGUUUUCAUGGAAUAAUUCCAUCUCUGCUUAUAACUGUAAUUUGCCUUCAAAAUAAACAGAUAAUUAGUUU
This is a long non-coding RNA of Carassius carassius (crucian carp), 1095 nucleotides long. RefSeq lists it as uncharacterized. The record is from RefSeq and is a predicted model, not a curated record. Lineage: Eukaryota; Metazoa; Chordata; Actinopteri; Cypriniformes; Cyprinidae. The transcript is spliced from 2 exons.